UACGAAGGGGGCUAGCGUUGCUCGGAAUCACUGGGCGUAAAGCGCACGUAGGCGGAUCUUUAAGUCAGAGGUGAAAUCCUGGAGCUCAACUCCAGAACUGCCUUUGAUACUGGGGAUCUCGAGUCCGGGAGAGGUGAGUGGAACUGCGAGUGUAGAGGUGAAAUUCGUAGAUAUUCGCAAGAACACCAGUGGCGAAGGCGGCUCACUGGCCCGGUACUGACGCUGAGGUGCGAAAGCGUGGGGAGCAAACAGG
This 253-nucleotide ribosomal RNA is filed under the name uncultured bacterium. RNAcentral's name for it is "partial 16S ribosomal RNA". It matches the Rfam family "Bacterial small subunit ribosomal RNA", at positions 524 to 776 of the family's 1533-position model. The record is from RNAcentral.